UUAAGUUAUUAAGGGCGCACGGUGGAUGCCUUGGCACUAGAAGCCGAUGAAGGACGUUACUAACGACGAUAUGCUUUGGGGAGCUGUAAGUAAGCUUUGAUCCAGAGAUUUCCGAAUGGGGAAACCCAGCAUGAGUUAUGUCAUGUUAUCGAUAUGUGAAUACAUAGCAUAUCAGAAGGCACACCCGGAGAACUGAAACAUCUUAGUACCCGGAGGAAGAGAAAGAAAAUUCGAUUCCCUUAGUAGCGGCGAGCGAAACGGGAAGAGCCCAAACCAACAAGCUUGCUUGUUGGGGUUGUAGGACACUCUAUACGGAGUUACAAAGGACGACAUUAGACGAAUCAUCUGGAAAGAUGAAUCAAAGAAGGUAAUAAUCCUGUAGUCGAAAAUGUUGUCUCUCUUGAGUGGAUCCUGAGUACGACGGAGCACGUGAAAUUCCGUCGGAAUCUGGGAGGACCAUCUCCUAAGGCUAAAUACUCUCUAGUGACCGAUAGUGAACCAGUACCGUGAGGGAAAGGUGAAAAGCACCCCGGAAGGGGAGUGAAAUAGAACCUGAAACCGUGUGCUUACAAGUAGUCAGAGCCCGUUAAUGGGUGAUGGCGUGCCUUUUGUAGAAUGAACCGGCGAGUUACGAUUUGAUGCAAGGUUAAGCAGUAAAUGUGGAGCCGUAGCGAAAGCGAGUCUGAAUAGGGCGUUUAGUAUUUGGUCGUAGACCCGAAACCAGGUGAUCUACCCUUGGUCAGGUUGAAGUUCAGGUAACACUGAAUGGAGGACCGAACCGACUUACGUUGAAAAGUGAGCGGAUGAACUGAGGGUAGCGGAGAAAUUCCAAUCGAACCUGGAGAUAGCUGGUUCUCUCCGAAAUAGCUUUAGGGCUAGCCUCAAGUGAUGAUUAUUGGAGGUAGAGCACUGUUUGGACGAGGGGCCCCUCUCGGGUUACCGAAUUCAGACAAACUCCGAAUGCCAAUUAAUUUAACUUGGGAGUCAGAACAUGGGUGAUAAGGUCCGUGUUCGAAAGGGAAACAGCCCAGACCACCAGCUAAGGUCCCAAAAUAUAUGUUAAGUGGAAAAGGAUGUGGCGUUGCCCAGACAACUAGGAUGUUGGCUUAGAAGCAGCCAUCAUUUAAAGAGUGCGUAAUAGCUCACUAGUCGAGUGACACUGCGCCGAAAAUGUACCGGGGCUAAACAUAUUACCGAAGCUGCGGAUUGUCCUUUGGACAAUGGUAGGAGAGCGUUCUAAGGGCGUUGAAGCAUGAUCGCAAGGACAUGUGGAGCGCUUAGAAGUGAGAAUGCCGGUGUGAGUAGCGAAAGACGGGUGAGAAUCCCGUCCACCGAUUGACUAAGGUUUCCAGAGGAAGGCUCGUCCGCUCUGGGUUAGUCGGGUCCUAAGCUGAGGCCGACAGGCGUAGGCGAUGGAUAACAGGUUGAUAUUCCUGUACCACCUAUAAUCGUUUUAAUCGAUGGGGGGACGCAGUAGGAUAGGCGAAGCGUGCGAUUGGAUUGCACGUCUAAGCAGUAAGGCUGAGUAUUAGGCAAAUCCGGUACUCGUUAAGGCUGAGCUGUGAUGGGGAGAAGACAUUGUGUCUUCGAGUCGUUGAUUUCACACUGCCGAGAAAAGCCUCUAGAUAGAAAAUAGGUGCCCGUACCGCAAACCGACACAGGUAGUCAAGAUGAGAAUUCUAAGGUGAGCGAGCGAACUCUCGUUAAGGAACUCGGCAAAAUGACCCCGUAACUUCGGGAGAAGGGGUGCUCUUUAGGGUUAACGCCCAGAAGAGCCGCAGUGAAUAGGCCCAAGCGACUGUUUAUCAAAAACACAGGUCUCUGCUAAACCGUAAGGUGAUGUAUAGGGGCUGACGCCUGCCCGGUGCUGGAAGGUUAAGAGGAGUGGUUAGCUUCUGCGAAGCUACGAAUCGAAGCCCCAGUAAACGGCGGCCGUAACUAUAACGGUCCUAAGGUAGCGAAAUUCCUUGUCGGGUAAGUUCCGACCCGCACGAAAGGCGUAACGAUUUGGGCACUGUCUCAACGAGAGACUCGGUGAAAUCAUAGUACCUGUGAAGAUGCAGGUUACCCGCGACAGGACGGAAAGACCCCGUGGAGCUUUACUGUAGCCUGAUAUUGAAAUUCGGCACAGCUUGUACAGGAUAGGUAGGAGCCUUUGAAACGUGAGCGCUAGCUUACGUGGAGGCGCUGGUGGGAUACUACCCUAGCUGUGUUGGCUUUCUAACCCGCACCACUUAUCGUGGUGGGAGACAGUGUCAGGCGGGCAGUUUGACUGGGGCGGUCGCCUCCUAAAAGGUAACGGAGGCGCUCAAAGGUUCCCUCAGAAUGGUUGGAAAUCAUUCAUAGAGUGUAAAGGCAUAAGGGAGCUUGACUGCGAGACCUACAAGUCGAGCAGGGUCGAAAGACGGACUUAGUGAUCCGGUGGUUCCGCAUGGAAGGGCCAUCGCUCAACGGAUAAAAGCUACCCCGGGGAUAACAGGCUUAUCUCCCCCAAGAGUUCACAUCGACGGGGAGGUUUGGCACCUCGAUGUCGGCUCAUCGCAUCCUGGGGCUGUAGUCGGUCCCAAGGGUUGGGCUGUUCGCCCAUUAAAGCGGUACGCGAGCUGGGUUCAGAACGUCGUGAGACAGUUCGGUCCCUAUCCGUCGUGGGCGUAGGAAAUUUGAGAGGAGCUGUCCUUAGUACGAGAGGACCGGGAUGGACAUACCUCUGGUGUACCAGUUGUCGUGCCAACGGCAUAGCUGGGUAGCUAUGUGUGGACGGGAUAAGUGCUGAAAGCAUCUAAGCAUGAAGCCCCCCUCAAGAUGAGAUUUCCCAACUUCGGUUAUAAGAUCCCUCAAAGAUGAUGAGGUUAAUAGGUUCGAGGUGGAAGCAUGGUGACAUGUGGAGCUGACGAAUACUAAUCGAUCGAAGACUUAAUCAA
RNAcentral lists this ribosomal RNA (2921 nucleotides) under Staphylococcus aureus M0877. Its description in RNAcentral is "bacterial LSU rRNA". It matches the Rfam family "Bacterial large subunit ribosomal RNA". Lineage: Bacteria; Bacillati; Bacillota; Bacilli; Caryophanales; Staphylococcaceae. The record is from RNAcentral.